Molecule: long non-coding RNA, 1368 nt
Organism: Oncorhynchus tshawytscha (Chinook salmon)
Lineage: Eukaryota; Metazoa; Chordata; Actinopteri; Salmoniformes; Salmonidae
Source: Ensembl
GGGAAGGAAGGUAUUGGGGCAAUGUAAACAUGAGGGAGAGAUGAAGAGAGGGGAAAGGAAGGUACUGGGGCAAUGUAAACAUGAGGAAGAGAUGGAGAGAGGGGAAAGGAAGGUACUGGGGCAAUGUAAACAUGAGGGAGAGAUGGAGAGAGGGAAAGGAAGGUAUUGGGGCAAUGUAAACAUGAGGAAGAGAUGGAGAGAGGGGAAAGGAAGGUACUGGGGCAAUGUAAACAUGAGGGAGAGAUGGAGAGAGGGGAAAGGAAGGUACUGGGGCAAUGUAAACAUGAGGGAGAGAUGGAGAGAGGGGAAAGGAAGGUAUUGGGGCAAUGUAAACAUGAGGGAGAGAUGGAGAGAGGGGAAAGGAAGGUAUUGGGGCAAUGUAAACAUGAGGGAGAGAUGGAGAGAGGGGAAAGGAAGGUAGUGAGAAAAAGAAGAGGCGUAUGGAGUGAACACUGUCAGAGAAUAAAACAUGGAGAAAGGAAUGGAGAAACAGAUGAGCGUUUCCCAACAACAGGUCAGGACCUAUUGGGUCACUGCUAUUCCUUUUGGGACACACCUAAACACAAGAUUAAACCCAAACACACUGGUCUGGUUUAUUGGGCGAAUCACAAUAUAUUUCAAAUCAGCUUUGAGCAUUUGGCAGUAUGAAUCUAUAUGAAGCUGCAUGAAGCUGCGUGAAGCAGUGUGAAGCAGUAUGAAGCUGCGUGAAGCAGUAUGAAGCAGUGUGAAGCAGUGUGAAGCAGUGCGAAGCAGUGUGAAGCAGUGCGAAGCAGUGCGAAGCAGUGUGAAGCAGUGUGAAGCUGUGUAAAGCUGUAUGAAGCUGUAUGAAGCUGUAUGAAGCUGUGUAAAGCUGUAUUGGGCUGUAUUAGGCAUUGCGUCGUCCUGAACCUUCUUUCAGCAUUCUAGUUCCAGUCUACCUUCCACUGCUCAGACCUCAGCGGCCCAGUAAAUGGUUGAGAUCAGCACAUCACAACUAUCAAAUAUCAAUGGCUUUACAUGGCUAACAGCGCUAGAGGCUGUUCAUCUGACAGAGAGAAAAAACACUAUAUGACAGCUUCCGGACAGGGAUAAGAGGGAGAGAAGUAAAGAGAGGGAUGGAGAGAUGUGAGAAGUGGAGGAUACAGGCUAGCCAGCAUUCUGAAGACAGGAAAAGAGAGCGACAAACAAUUGAGAGAGAGAGCGAGAGCGAGGGAUCGAGAACGAGGGAGCGAGAGAGAGAACGAGAGAGAACGAGCGAGAGCAAGAAAGAGAGAGAGAGAUUGAGCGCAAGAAAGAGGGAGAGAGAGCGAGAGCAAGAAAGAGAGAGAGAGAGCGAGCGCAAGAAAGAGGGAGAGAGAGCGAGAGCAAGAAAGAGAGAGAGAGAGCGAG